UUAACUGGAGGAAGGUGGGGAUGACGUCAAAUCAUCAUGCCCCUUAUGACCUGGGCUACACACGUGCUACAAUGGACAGAACAAAGGGCUGCGAGACCGCAAGGUUUAGCCAAUCCCAUAAAUCUGUUCUCAGUUCGGAUCGCAGUCUGCAACUCGACUGCGUGAAGCUGGAAUCGCUAGUAAUCGCGGAUCAGCAUGCCGCGGUGAAUACGUUCCCGGGCCUUGUACACACCGCCCGUCACACCACGAGAGUUUGUAACACCCGAAGUCGGUGAGGUAACCUUUAUGGAGCCAGCCGCCGAAGGUGGGACAGAUGAUUGGGGGAAGUCGUAACAAGGAUGCCUUGAGAG
Molecule: ribosomal RNA, 350 nt
Filed under: Bacillus stratosphericus
Lineage: Bacteria; Bacillati; Bacillota; Bacilli; Caryophanales; Bacillaceae
Description: bacterial SSU rRNA
Rfam family: Bacterial small subunit ribosomal RNA
Source: RNAcentral